This 2413-nucleotide long non-coding RNA is filed under the name Salmo salar (Atlantic salmon). Its description in RNAcentral is "lncRNA (ENSSSAG00000089584.1)". Lineage: Eukaryota; Metazoa; Chordata; Actinopteri; Salmoniformes; Salmonidae. The record is from RNAcentral.
AUCAUCAACUACAUUCAGCCGCGGGUCGAUUGAAUGGAUUGUCGGGGGGCCGGAACAUAAUUAUUAAUAAUUUGUAGACUGCAAAUUGACCACAAGAAGCCCAAACAGAUAUAACAAUUGACAAAAAUAUAAUCAUUUCUCAAACUUAGGUUACAUUUUUAUACGAUCACGUCUCUCUAUUAUCCGUGGGAUUACUUGGGAAGUUUUCCUAGUGUUUCCUGCUAUUUUUUAAAUAUUUUUCUUUCUUUGAAAACUUGGGGGCCAAAUAAAACCACCCCCGGGCCAAAUUGUGCUGUUGCGUCAGUUGUAAGGGGAGGUGAUAACUCUAGAUGAUGAAAGGUUGGCUAUCUUAUAAUACCUCUAUGGGCUGUCUGAGACUCACUCAGAUGUGAGAUACAUAGAGGUGGUAGUUACUGGAGGUGAGGAACACCGGGGUCAGAGCUAGACAGAGCUGAGAGAGAUAGAGUGAUAUAGAGAAAUAGAGAGAGUUAUAGAGAGAGGGAUACAGAGAGAGAGUUAGAGAGAAAUGGAGAUUGAGAGAUAGAGAUACAGAGAGAGAAAGAGAGAAAUAGAGAGAGAGUUAUAGAGAGAGGGAUACAGAGAGAGAGAUAGAGAAAUGGAGAUUGAGAGAUGGCGUUAUAGAGAGAGAUGCAGAGAGAGAGAGAGAGAGCGAGAGAGAAAUGGAGAUUGAGAGACAUAGUUAUAGAGAGAGAUACAGAGAGAGAGAGAGAGAGAAAUGGAGAUUGAGAGACAUAGUUAUAGAGAGAGAUACAGAGAUACAGAGAGAGAGAGAGAAAUGGAGAUUGAGAGAGAGAGUUAUAGAGAGAUAAAGACAAAUAGAGAGAGAGCUAUUAGAUGCAGUUCUUACUAGGAUCAGUAACUGAGGUGUGUGUGUGUGUGUGUGUGUGUGUGUGUGUGUGUGUGUGUGUGUGUGUGUGUGUGUGUGUGUGUGUGUGUGUGUGUGUGUGUGUGUGUGUGUGUGUGUGUGUGUGUGUGUGUGUGUGUGUGUGUGUGUGUGUGUGUGUGUGUAUAGGUGUGUGUAUGUGUGUGUAUAUGUGUAUGUGUGUGUAACCAGAGUCAGGGUUAGGGAUGGUCAGUUAACACCCUGGGGAGCCUAACCCCCCCCCCCCAAAAAAACACAUCUGCUAACAGCCAGCCUGGAUUUCCACAAGUCAUUGCUCUUAUCUUGUAUCUUCCUUUAUCUAAGGGAAAUAUUCAGACUGAGUGAUCAUUAAUUAAUAGCUCAUUGUUCUACACUUGUUGAAUGGGAAAGGCUUAUCUAAGGUCUGUAGGUAUUAUAGAAUCACCUUAUAUACAAUAUUGACAGUUCUGUAAGUAAACAAAAUAUCAAAUUGGCUUCUAAAUGACCAUAUUAUAGUGUUAUUAUAGGAGUGUUCAUUAUUCCAUUUUUGUCUGAACUACCGGUACUUGAGGUUACAUUCCAAAUGGCACAGGUACGGGCUGGUCAAAAGUAGUGCACUUUAUAGGGAAAAGGGUACCAUUUGGGAUCCACCCUAGUCUGUCCUUCCACCACUCCCCCCCCUGCUUUCAGACUAGAUGGGAGUGGAAAAAUGAAGAAAUGAGUCAACAUGAAUCCUCAGGUACACUAUAUACUAGAUCAGGUUUCCCCUUUAGAAGAGAAAGUCCAUUAAAAAUCCCUUUGAUUUCAUGUUUGGCGGCUCAGUGAAAAAAAAUUAAUUUACUCCAGUCGCAUGAAGUCCAAUUUGGGCAAGUGGACAUUAAAGACAGGAGCAGGAGCUAACCAGCCAGGCCCUAAUAAGAGCCAUGCCUGGCCUGGCUAAGAGAGAGAGCUGUGUGUGUGUGUGUGUGUGUGUGUGUGUGUGUGUGUGUGUGUGUGUGUGUGUGUGUGUGUGUGCCUCAUCAGCUACCAGUCAGCCUGGUCGGCUCCGGCUCCAAGCCUCCCGCCUGCUAAUAGAUUUCAGCUCCCGCUUCUCUGUCCCAAUUAGCUAGCUAGUGUGUGUGUGUACAUAUUCUGCUGUGUGUAUAAGCUAAUGUAUAGAUGUUUUGAGUGUGUGUCUGUGUGCACGUGUGUGUGAGUGUGAGUGUGUGCGUGUAUGUGUGUGUGUGUGUGUGUGUGUGUGUGUGUGUGUGUGUGUGUGUGUGUGUGUGUGUGUGUGUGUGUGUGUGUGUGUGUGUGUGUGUGUGUGUGUGUGUGUGUGUGUAGCGUGUCUUUCAGCAGCCAGGAACCUCCAGAAGUUUAAAGAGGCAGAUUCAAUAAAAGUUCCAUAUUUCUGGCCUUGGCAACGGGUUCCAGUUCAAAAAUAGAAAUAGUUCUCUGUUUAUUCCAUCUAUUAAACAAGACUGCAUUCAGAGACUUCUGGAAUAAGGACAUCUGGUGCAAUGUCCUGAAGACACAGCGAAUGAAAAAAACAAAGGGCUACCGAUUGAUGAG